This is a long non-coding RNA of Homo sapiens (human), 640 nucleotides long. Ensembl annotates it as ZNFX1 antisense RNA 1. Its record names the gene ZFAS1. Lineage: Eukaryota; Metazoa; Chordata; Mammalia; Primates; Hominidae. The record is from Ensembl.
CUUUCGCGUCUGCGGUGCCCGGAGUGUGGUACUUCUCCUAGUUGCAGUCAGGCUUCAUACGCUAUUGUCCUGCCCGUAAGUUCCCGUUUUGUGUGUGGUUAGAGCAGCCAGCGGGUACAGAAUGGAUUUUGGAAGAGGGAGUCACCACUGGACCUCCAAGGAAGCCACGUGCAGACAUCUACAACCUUCGAUCUCCUGACGAGUAAGUCUUUGUCUCCUAUGGGUCUACUGUAGAAAACACGUGCUUUGAGAAGCUUUAGUUUUCUAGGAAAACGUGGGAUUUAACAAAGCACUUUCUAUCGAGCAUUUAUUAGGUAUUUAAAAAAGUGUUCUGACGGCCGGGCGCUGUGGCUGACGCCUGUAACCCCAGCACUUGGGGAGGCCAAGGCAGAUGGGUCACCUGAGGUCAAGAUUUGGAGACCAGCCUGGCCAACAUGGUGAAACCCUGACUCUAUUAAAAAUACAGAAAUUAGCUGGGCGUGGUGGUACGCGCCUGUAAUCCCAGCAACUCACAAGGCUGAGGCAGGAGAAUUGCCCGAACCCGGGCGGCGGAGGUUGUAGUGAGUUGAGAUUGCGCCACUGCCCUACAGUCGGGGCAACAGAGCCAGACUCCGUCUCAAAAAAAAAAAAAAAAGAAAAA